UACGGGAGGCAGCAGUGAGGAAUAUUGGUCAAUGGGCGCAAGCCUGAUCCAGCCAUGCCGCGUGCAGGAUGACGGUCCUAUGGAUUGUAAACUGCUUUUGUACAGGAAGAAACCCUCCCUCGUGUGGGAGAUUGACGGUACUGUAAGAAUAAGGAUCGGCUAACUCCGUGCCAGCAGCCGCGGUAAUACGGAGGAUCCAAGCGUUAUCCGGAAUCAUUGGGUUUAAAGGGUCCGUAGGCGGUCUUAUAAGUCAGUGGUGAAAUCCCAUCGCUCAACGAUGGAACGGCCAUUGAUACUGUUAGACUUGAAUUAUUAGGAAGUAACUAGAAUAUGUAGUGUAGCGGUGAAAUGCUUAGAUAUUACAUGGAAUACCAAUUGCGAAGGCAGGUUACUACUAAUUGAUUGACGCUGAUGGACGAAAGCGUGGGUAGCGAACAGGAUUAGAUACCCUGGUAGUCCACGCCGUAAACGAUGGAUACUAGCUGUUAUCAGCAAUCUCAGUGGCUAAGCGAAACGGAUAAGUUCCCACCUGGG
This 534-nucleotide ribosomal RNA is filed under the name uncultured Bacteroidota bacterium. RNAcentral describes it as "bacterial SSU rRNA". It matches the Rfam family "Bacterial small subunit ribosomal RNA", at positions 340 to 877 of the family's 1533-position model. Lineage: Bacteria; Pseudomonadati; Bacteroidota. The record is from RNAcentral.